CCUACGGGUGGCAGCAGUGAGGAAUAUUGGUCAAUGGACGAGAGUCUGAACCAGCCAAGUAGCGUGAAGGAUGACUGCCCUAUGGGUUGUAAACUUCUUUUAUAAAGGAAUAAAGGUAUCCACGUGUGGAUCUUUGCAUGUACCCUAUGAAUAAGCAUCGGCUAACUCCGUGCCCGCAGCCGAGGUAAUACGGGGGAUGCAAGCGUUAUCCGGAUUUAUUGGGUUUAAAGGGUGCGUAGGCUGUGAGGUAAGUCAGCGGUGAAAUGCCCCCGCUCAACGGGGUGAAGUGCCAUUGAUACUGCCUGGCUGGAAUGCGGAUGCCGUGGGAGGAAUGUGUGGUGUAGCGGUGAAAUGCAUAGAUAUCACACAGAACACCGAUUGCGAAGGCAUCUCACGAAGCCGCGAUUGACGCUGAUGCACGAAAGCGUGGGUAUCAAACAGGAUUAGAUACCCCAGUAGUC
This 461-nucleotide ribosomal RNA is filed under the name uncultured bacterium. RNAcentral's name for it is "partial 16S ribosomal RNA". It matches the Rfam family "Bacterial small subunit ribosomal RNA", at positions 338 to 795 of the family's 1533-position model. The record is from RNAcentral.